Molecule: ribosomal RNA, 736 nt
Filed under: uncultured bacterium
Lineage: Bacteria
Description: bacterial SSU rRNA
Rfam family: Bacterial small subunit ribosomal RNA
Source: RNAcentral
GGCAAACGGGUGAGUAAUGCGUGGGUAACCUACCUUAAGGAGGAGGAUAGCUUCGCGAAAGCGGAGGUAAUACUCCAUAAUGUCAGUAAGUACUUCUUACUGAACAAAGAUGGCCUCUAUUUAUAAGCUGUCACCAUAAGAGGGGCCCACGUCCUAUCAGGUAGUUGGUGGGGUAAAGGCCUACCAAGCCAAAGACGGGUAGCUGGCGUAAGAGCGUGACCAGCCACAUCGGGACUGAGACACUGCCCGGACUCCUACGGGAGGCUGCAGUCGAGAAUCUUUCCCAAUGGACGAAAGUCUGAGGAUGCGACGUCGCGUGGGGGAUGAAGGCCUUCGGGUUGUAAACCCAUUUUAUUAGGGAGGAACAUCAAGAGGUGAAUAGCCUUUUGAUUUGACUUUACUUGAUGAAUAAGCCACGGCUAACUCCGUGCCAGCAGCCGCGGUAAUACGGAGGUGGCGAGCGUUACUCGGUUUGACUGGGUGUAAAGGGUCCGCAGGCGGCCAUACAAGUGACAGGUGAAAUCUUUCGGCUUAACCGAAAAACUGCCUUUCAAACUGUAUGGCUUGAGGAUGGAAGAGGAGAGUGGAACUGCCGGUGUAAAGGUGAAAUUUGUGGAUAUCGGUAGGAACGCCCGUGGAGAAGUCGGCUCUCUGGUCCAUAUCUGACGCUCAGGGACGAAAGCUAGGGGAGUGAACAGGAUUAGAUACCCUGGUAAUCCUAGCUGUAAACGAUGGG